CAACCACCAAUAAUGUUGUAGCUACUACCGCCACACAACAAUUUAGCAAAUCAAAGUUAACUAUACAAUUGGUUUGAAAUGCCUUUGACUGUCAAAGAUUACACAUGGACACAGACAGAAACGAUUGUUUACAUAAAUGUACCAUUAAAAGGAGUACAUUUCCCCCGUUUUUAUUUGAAGCCUUCCUGUUUGAGCCGAUAGAUGAUGACAAAAGCACAGCAAAAAUUGGAAAUGGAGUUGCAGUUUUCACAUUGCAGAAAAAGGAGACUGUGGGAGAACCUUGUGAUUACUAACAAUCAGAAAAACAGUGUUCAAUCAAUCAGCAAGAAAAAAACAGGUGGAUUUGCCAGCUCCAAGAUCCACAGGCAACAUUCAAAUCAAGUUCACACCACUAGUGUUUCCCACAGCCCUACGAGAAUCAAG
Oncorhynchus tshawytscha (Chinook salmon) is the source of this 423-nucleotide long non-coding RNA. NCBI's taxonomy places the organism in Eukaryota, Metazoa, Chordata, Actinopteri, Salmoniformes, Salmonidae. The record is from Ensembl.